RNAcentral lists this ribosomal RNA (826 nucleotides) under bacterium. RNAcentral's name for it is "bacterial SSU rRNA". It matches the Rfam family "Bacterial small subunit ribosomal RNA", at positions 23 to 863 of the family's 1533-position model. The record is from RNAcentral.
CUCAGGACGAACGCUGGCGGCGUGCUUAACACAUGCAAGUCGAACGAUGAACCACUUCGGUGGGGAUUAGUGGCGAACGGGUGAGUAACACGUGGGCAAUCUGCCCUGCACUCUGGGACAAGCCCUGGAAACGGGGUCUAAUACCGGAUACUGAUCAUCACGGGCAUCUGUGGUGUUCGAAAGCUCCGGCGGUGCAGGAUGAGCCCGCGGCCUAUCAGCUUGUUGGUGAGGUAAUGGCUCACCAAGGCGACGACGGGUAGCCGGCCUGAGAGGGCGACCGGCCACACUGGGACUGAGACACGGCCCAGACUCCUACGGGAGGCAGCAGUGGGGAAUAUUGCACAAUGGGCGAAAGCCUGAUGCAGCGACGCCGCGUGAGGGAUGACGGCCUUCGGGUUGUAAACCUCUUUCAGCAGGGAAGAAGCGAAAGUGACGGUACCUGCAGAAGAAGCGCCGGCUAACUACGUGCCAGCAGCCGCGGUAAUACGUAGGGCGCAAGCGUUGUCCGGAAUUAUUGGGCGUAAAGAGCUCGUAGGCGGCUUGUCGCGUCGGUUGUGAAAGCCCGGGGCUUAACCCCGGGUCUGCAGUCGAUACGGGCAGGCUAGAGUUCGGUAGGGGAGAUCGGAAUUCCUGGUGUAGCGGUGAAAUGCGCAGAUAUCAGGAGGAACACCGGUGGCGAAGGCGGAUCUCUGGGCCGAUACUGACGCUGAGGAGCGAAAGCGUGGGGAGCGAACAGGAUUAGAUACCCUGGUAGUCCACGCCGUAAACGGUGGGCACUAGGUGUGGGCAACAUUCCACGUUGUCCGUGCCGCAGCUAACGCAUUAA